Molecule: non-coding RNA, 456 nt
Organism: Vicugna pacos (alpaca)
Lineage: Eukaryota; Metazoa; Chordata; Mammalia; Artiodactyla; Camelidae
Source: RefSeq, a predicted model, not a curated record
AUACUGACAAUGAAUUAUCUGAAAAACUAAAGGCACUGAUUAUAUUUACAAUAGCAUCUAAAACAAUAAAGUACUUUGCAGUAAAUUUAAGUAAGGUGAAAGACCUCUUUACUAAAUCUAUAAGACACUGACAAGAGAAGGGGAAGAGGGAGGGGGACGUAAUUCUGUGUUUGAGGACUGGAAGAAUCCAGAUUGUUGAAACAUCCAUUCUACCAAAAGCCAUCUAUAGAUUCAAUGCAAUCCCUCCUACAAUUUAUAUGGAACCAUGAAAGACCUUGAAUAGCUAAAGCAAUCCUGAGAAAGAACAACAAAGGGGGGCGGCAUCAGGCUUCCUGUUUUCAAGCAAUAUUAUAAAGCUGUAUUAAUCAAAAGGUACAGUUCUGGCUUAAAAACAGACAAGUAGACCAAUGGAACACAGUCAAGAGCCCAGAAGUAAAACCAAAAACUUUUUGUCAA